UGAACUACUUACUUUAUGAAGUUAGAACGUUUGCCUACGUUUGCCGCUAGGGGCGCUGUUCCAACUGUAUAGAGUUAACUUUUA
RNAcentral lists this microRNA precursor (84 nucleotides) under Bombyx mori (domestic silkworm). RNAcentral describes it as "mir-2807 microRNA precursor family". It matches the Rfam family "mir-2807 microRNA precursor family". The record is from Rfam by way of RNAcentral. Lineage: Eukaryota; Metazoa; Arthropoda; Insecta; Lepidoptera; Bombycidae.